This 131-nucleotide small RNA is filed under the name Escherichia coli. Its description in RNAcentral is "RtT sRNA". It matches the Rfam family "RtT RNA". Rfam says of the family: This family represents a bacterial cis-regulatory element known as RtT RNA. The record is from RNAcentral. Lineage: Bacteria; Pseudomonadati; Pseudomonadota; Gammaproteobacteria; Enterobacterales; Enterobacteriaceae.
AUUCUGCCCAUGCGGGGAAGGAUGAGAAGCUUCGACCAAGGUUCGACUCGAGGCCAGCGAGAGAGCGUUGCCGCAGGCAACGACCCGUAGGGCGAAGCGCGCAGCACUGAGUAAUCCUUCCCCCACCACCA